UACUGACGCUGAUGAACGAAAGCGUAGGUAGCCAACAGGAUUAGAUACCCUGGUAGUCUACGCUGUAAACGAUGGUUACUAGCUGUUCGUCACGCCUUAGGCGAGAUGAGUGGUUAAGCGAAAGUGAUAAGUAACCCACCUGGGGAGUACGUUUGCAAGAAUGAAACUCAAAGGAAUUGACGGGGGCCCGCACAAGCGGUGGAGCAUGUGGUUUAAUUCGAUGAUACGCGAGGAACCUUACCAAGGCUUAAAUGCAUAUUGACGAUUCACGAAAGUGGAUUUUCUUCGGACAAUUUGCAAGGUGCUGCAUGGUUGUCGUCAGCUCGUGCCGUGAGGUGUCAGGUUAAGUCCUAUAACGAGCGCAACCCCUGUGGUUAGUUACCAGCAUGUAAUGAUGGGGACUCUAGCCAGGCUGCCGGUGCAAACCGUGAGGAAGGUGGGGAUGACGUCAAAUCAUCACGGCCCUUACGCCUUGGGCUACACACGUGCUACAAUGGUAUAUACAAUGAGCAGCCAUCUGGCGACAGAGCGCUAAUCUAUAAAGUAUAUCACAGUUCGAAUCGGAGUCUGCAACUCGACUCUGUGAAGCUGGAAUCGCUAGUAAUCGCACAUCAGCCAUGGUGCGGUGAAUACGUUCCCGGGCCUUGUACACACCGCCCG
RNAcentral lists this ribosomal RNA (660 nucleotides) under uncultured bacterium. Its description in RNAcentral is "bacterial SSU rRNA". It matches the Rfam family "Bacterial small subunit ribosomal RNA", at positions 738 to 1396 of the family's 1533-position model. The record is from RNAcentral.